AAAAGGUCAGAGACCCAGUUUACCAUGGUUUAUGUACAAUCUGGCAAGUGUCACUUAAAAAGACAUUUUAUAUAAACAAAGAAAGUGGCAGGUGAGAUAAUAACUGCACCAGACCACCGUUUGUCCUCAGAGAGGAAGAAUAAACAGCUCGAGAGAGAGAGAGAGAGAGAGAGAGAGAGAAGAUAGGGAAGAAGAAGACGACGAUAAUGGAGACUUCGACAGAGGAGCAAAGAAACAGAUCAGAAGAAACAUCUGGUUUGUACUACAGCCCUUGCUAUUUCUUUGACCAGGUCAUCAAAUCUUUUCUUAAGUGCCUUGGUCAUGACUCCACAACCGAACAACCUCAAUCUCAACAUCCUCCUCUGCAUGCAGAAAGAGAGAUGAAAUUCACUGAAGAGUUUGCAGUCAACGGAACAAAGUCAUCAAGAGGUAAUUUGAGAAGGCCACCAAGGCCACCAAUAAGCUCUGGCGGAGGUGGUCAAAUAAACCAAUCUUCUUCUUAAGGUUAUCAUGUUUACAGGUCCAAAAAGACUACACUUGUUCAUCGUGUUGUAUGCUUAAUUUUCCGGGGCUUCAUCGUCGGUGGUUUUGUUCCUUGGUGAUUAGGUCAUGCCAAGGAAUCUGUAAGUUAGCAUUUAAUGCUAUAUUUCGACAUUAUCAUACUCGAAUACUUUCUUCCAGUUUAAAGUUAUUGCAGAUCUGAGGUUUGCUGGUAA
Molecule: long non-coding RNA, 716 nt
Organism: Juglans microcarpa x Juglans regia
Lineage: Eukaryota; Viridiplantae; Streptophyta; Magnoliopsida; Fagales; Juglandaceae
Exons: 2
Source: RefSeq, a predicted model, not a curated record